RNAcentral lists this ribosomal RNA (605 nucleotides) under Nostoc sp. 'Lobaria amplissima cyanobiont'. RNAcentral describes it as "bacterial SSU rRNA". It matches the Rfam family "Bacterial small subunit ribosomal RNA", at positions 125 to 760 of the family's 1533-position model. The record is from RNAcentral. Lineage: Bacteria; Bacillati; Cyanobacteriota; Cyanophyceae; Nostocales; Nostocaceae.
UCUGCCAUCAGGUCUGGGACAACCACUGGAAACGGUGGCUAAUACCGGAUGUGCCCUUCGGGGUGAAAGGUUAACUGCCUGUUGAUGAGCUCGCGUCUGAUUAGCUGGUUGGUGUGGUAAGAGCGCACCAAGGCGACGAUCAGUAGCUGGUCUGAGAGGACGAUCAGCCACACUGGGACUGAGACACGGCCCAGACUCCUACGGGAGGCAGCAGUGGGGAAUUUUCCGCAAUGGGCGAAAGCCUGACGGAGCAAUACCGCGUGAGGGAGGAAGGCUCUUGGGUCGUAAACCUCUUUUCUCAGGGAAGAACACAAUGACGGUACCUGAGGAAUAAGCAUCGGCUAACUCCGUGCCAGCAGCCGCGGUAAUACGGAGGAUGCAAGCGUUAUCCGGAAUGAUUGGGCGUAAAGCGUCCGCAGGUGGCUAUGUAAGUCUGCUGUUAAAGAGUCUAGCUCAACUAGAUAAGAGCAGUGGAAACUACAAGGCUAGAGUGCGUUCGGGGCAGAGGGAAUUCCUGGUGUAGCGGUGAAAUGCGUAGAGAUCAGGAAGAACACCAGUGGCGAAGGCGCUCUGCUAGGCCGCAACUGACACUGAGGGACGAAAGC